RNAcentral lists this small nucleolar RNA (98 nucleotides) under Sorghum bicolor (sorghum). Its description in RNAcentral is "Plant small nucleolar RNA R71". It matches the Rfam family "Plant small nucleolar RNA R71". Rfam says of the family: R71 is a member of the C/D box family of snoRNAs containing the C (UGAUGA) and D (CUGA) box motifs. Multiple nearly identical copies of this snoRNA have been identified in Arabidopsis, and it is thought to function as a 2'-O-ribose methylation guide for 18S ribosomal RNA. The record is from Rfam by way of RNAcentral. Lineage: Eukaryota; Viridiplantae; Streptophyta; Magnoliopsida; Poales; Poaceae.
GAGUCUAGACGCCGACAGUAGUCUUGAAAGCGCUCCCAUGCUUCUAGAACAGAUUCAUCAUUUUGUUGCUGAAAACUUGUGAUCUUCCCACGGAGAGC